Non-coding RNA from Paramuricea clavata, 471 nucleotides. Lineage: Eukaryota; Metazoa; Cnidaria; Anthozoa; Malacalcyonacea; Plexauridae. The record is from the annotation of a GenBank genome assembly.
GGCGAAGUUCAACUCCCGAUGUUUUGCCAACAUCUCUUAGUAUAUAUCAAUUCAAAAGUGCCCUUUCACGAAAAUAUGCCCCCCUUGCCUUCACAUCGUUCCGGCGUCCCUGCCAAUGCAAAUACUGGUUCCUACGCAAGACUUGGCCAUACAUAUCAAGUACCAAGCGGGUAUACCUACAACACGAACAAGGCGAGGAAUCUUCUCGCUGGCACUAUUCAAUUCACACCUAACGAGGUUGAAACAUUUUAUAACUUUUGAUUAAAUUUUCAUGACGUAGAUUUUGCAUUUAGAAACACAUGUAAGAUAGAAAAUAACGUAAAUGAAUGCACCGCACAUCAGGGAAAUUAAAUACAAGUAUAUUAAUAUUGCCAAGUAUAUACGAGUAUUUUAUGCUACUGUACUAUAACUACUGUCGUUAAAUGGGCUGUAUUUAAGCAAUUUGAAUGAAUAAUAACCAUUGUCCCAGCA